CGGGGGGUGCGAGCGUUGUCCGGAUUCACUGGGCGUAAAGGGCGCGUAGGCGGCCGGGUCAGUCGGGCCUGUAAGUGCGGGGCUCAACCCCGUGAUGGGCUCGGGACGGCCCGGCUGGGGCGCGGUCGAGGGAGACGGAAUGCCGGGUGUAGUGGUGAAAUGCGUAGAGAUCCGGCGGAACACCGGUGGUGAAGACGGUCUCCUGGGCCGAGGGCCGACGCUGAGGCGCGAGAGCGUGGGGAGCGAACCGGAUUAGAUACCCGGGUAGUCCACGCCGUAAACGGUGGAUGCUAGGUGUGGGGGGUAUCGACCCCCCCGUGCCGGCGCGAACGCAGGAAGCAUCCCGCCUGGGGAGUACGGCCGCAAGGCUA
Molecule: ribosomal RNA, 371 nt
Filed under: uncultured organism
Description: bacterial SSU rRNA
Rfam family: Bacterial small subunit ribosomal RNA
Source: RNAcentral